Long non-coding RNA from Photinus pyralis (common eastern firefly), 340 nucleotides. RefSeq lists it as uncharacterized. Lineage: Eukaryota; Metazoa; Arthropoda; Insecta; Coleoptera; Lampyridae. The transcript is spliced from 3 exons. The record is from RefSeq and is a predicted model, not a curated record.
GAUAGAGUGCACUUGAUUUUUAAUUAAACAGCAAAACGCAUGGGGUUUUAACUGCCGCCACCCAUAUGUAUUAAUAUUUGGCGAUUAAAUUCAGUUAAUUGGAAAUUUCGCCCCUUCACUCCAGUAGGAGGAUAUAAUUGCGUUAUUCUUCUUCAUUGUUAGUUCCGGCUGAUAUUUAAUACGAUUUUUCAUCGACGAUUGUUGCACGUUCUUCUAUAAUUAGCCCUCUUAUUUAAAGAGGGUUUGUCUUAAAUUUACCAUUUACCUGCGAGUGCCAACACCUGUGGAAAUAUUUUUUCACACCUGAUAAGAAGCCGCCAUAUAAUAUAAUAUAAUAUAA